RNAcentral lists this transfer RNA (76 nucleotides) under Bursa rhodostoma. RNAcentral describes it as "tRNA-Lys". It matches the Rfam family "tRNA". Rfam says of the family: Transfer RNA (tRNA) molecules are approximately 80 nucleotides in length. The record is from RNAcentral. Lineage: Eukaryota; Metazoa; Mollusca; Gastropoda; Littorinimorpha; Bursidae.
AUCUUAGAUGACUGAGUGGAAGUGCUAGACUUUUAAUCUAGAGACGGCAUAAAAUAAAAUUGCCUCUAAGAAAGAU